CCAUGUUGUAAAUGAGCAUAAUAUAUGCUGGUAGCCUGGCUACAUUUCACAGCAAGCUGCAGCACUGAAAAAUUCUUCCAAAUUCUGCAUUUCAGCAUAAGCUGCCUCAGAAUCAUGAAAGUCACAGGAACAAAUCUUGGCUCCCACAUUGGCUUUGGGCUCCUCUGCAGUCUGACCCUCCAGUGCUCCAGUCACUCCCAC
RNAcentral lists this long non-coding RNA (201 nucleotides) under Fukomys damarensis (Damara mole-rat). Its description in RNAcentral is "lncRNA (ENSFDAG00000032702.1)". The record is from RNAcentral. Lineage: Eukaryota; Metazoa; Chordata; Mammalia; Rodentia; Bathyergidae.